RNAcentral lists this ribosomal RNA (468 nucleotides) under uncultured bacterium. Its description in RNAcentral is "partial 16S ribosomal RNA". It matches the Rfam family "Bacterial small subunit ribosomal RNA", at positions 28 to 507 of the family's 1533-position model. The record is from RNAcentral.
GACGAACGCUGGCGGCGUGCUUAACACAUGCAAGUCGAACGGAAAGGCCCUGCUUUUGUGGGGUGCUCGAGUGGCGAACGGGUGAGUAACACGUGAGUAACCUGCCCUUGACUUUGGGAUAACUUCAGGAAACUGGGGCUAAUACCGGAUAGGAGCUCCUGCUGCAUGGUGGGGGUUGGAAAGUUUCGGCGGUUGGGGAUGGACUCGCGGCUUAUCAGCUUGUUGGUGGGGUAGUGGCUUACCAAGGCUUUGACGGGUAGCCGGCCUGAGAGGGUGACCGGCCACAUUGGGCCUGCGAGACGGCCCAGACUCCUACGGGAGGCAGCAGUGGGGAAUAUUGCACAAUGGGCGGAAGCCUGAUGCAGCAACGCCGCGUGCGGGAUGCCGGCCUUCGGGUUGUAAACCGCUUUCGCCUGUGACGAAGCGUGAGUGACGGUAAUGGGUAAAGAAGCACCGGCUAACUACGUG